Molecule: long non-coding RNA, 986 nt
Filed under: Brassica rapa (field mustard)
Lineage: Eukaryota; Viridiplantae; Streptophyta; Magnoliopsida; Brassicales; Brassicaceae
Description: long non-coding RNA (BRAP_LNC007023)
Source: RNAcentral
GGAAAAUCACCUAGUAACCAAUUAUAAAAAGAAAAAGAAAAUAUUUUGGGAAAGGUAGGAUUUAAUGGCUAAGGACAGAAUAGAUAUCUUACACAUCGUUACAACAUUAAAGGUAUCCAUUAUUUUCUGUAUUUGCUGUAUACAGAAGUUUUUUUUUUUUUUUGGCGUAAAUUUGGCUGUAUACAGAAGUUGAUAGGUUGCUUGUUGCAUUAGCUCUCCGUUAUUGUAGUUUUGCUGGUUCUUGUUUGAUGUAUUGACGCAGAAUUAAGCCCGUCACUCAUUUUUUUAUGUGAAACUGGUGAUGUUGAAUGUACAUAUCUCGUGAUAGUGGCUGGCUGAUUCUGAUAGUAAGCCAAAUUAAAGGUGAAAACUGAGAAAGUAAAAGUAAAGACACCUCCUCAACUACUGUUUUUGUCGUAGGAUUUUUAUGAUCUUCGAACAAAAGAUCAUGUCCAUAUACUCCCAGUCUCCCAUACACAACCAUUCUAUUGCUGUUUGUUUUUUCAUGUAAGGCGCGCUACGAGACGUUCUCGUUUUUCUCACGUUGAAAACUCUGUUAAUUACCAUAUAGUCCCAUACACAAUCAUACUUGAAAGAAAGUGUUACUUUCAAGAAUCUUUUGUGAAAAAAGUAUUUUUGGAAAAAAUAUGUUGGUGAUGUGAUUUGUUGUUUUGUUUGUAAUGCUAAAAUGGUAUUUACCCGGUUUAUGAAAGCGAUUAGAUUUAUUAUUGUCCUUUAGCGGAGGAUCUAUCUACAGGGUUCUACCUUAGACCACCACUAUCCCUGUUUCUUAACUGGGUUUUUAAAGAAAACUAAAUUUUAACCCGUACACCCGUGCGGUUAACAUUUCAUUUAUAAAUAUAAAAUUUUAUAUUAUUUUAUACAUAAUAAUUUAUGAUAAUAUAUUACUGUCAUUUUAAAAAUAACUAAAUAGAUGAUAUAUAGUUCUAAAUAUUAAAAUUUAUCAUAUGUUAACAAUUUUAUUU